Non-coding RNA from Ciona intestinalis (vase tunicate), 1016 nucleotides. The record is from RefSeq and is a predicted model, not a curated record. Lineage: Eukaryota; Metazoa; Chordata; Ascidiacea; Phlebobranchia; Cionidae.
UGUUCUAGAUCAGUGUCCCUGAAACACAUUACAAAACUGCCCUACACUGCAGUACAUUUGGACAAACUAACUAUCGGACUUUUGAUGGAAAAUUGUACGAUUUUGAUGGCGGUUGCUCGUAUAACCUGGUUUCUGGUAAAGAAGCGGGAAGCAAUCUGUUUCAGAUUUAUGUCAAGAACAGACAAAGAUGUGUGAAUAGAAUCUGCCGACGUGGUUUAGUGAUUUAUCUCGGCCACUCACAGCACAAGAUUGUUUUGGAAACAAAUGAGAAUGGAACAGUUUCUGCAACAACCGAUACUCAAAGUUUAGACAUACCAACUACAAUUUAUUCGCACGGAAUUGAAAAGAUUUCCGGUAAUGUGAUUGUGAAAGGGCCUUACUUUGUUUUGGUAUGGAAUACCGAAGAAACUAGAACAUUGAGAUUGGUCCAGAAUGGAAAAACAAAACAAUAGGUUUGUGUGGAAAUUGUAACGGCGACCAAACUGAUGAAUUUACAAAUGAAUUUGAGACUCUGCCUUCUGCACAAGCAUUUGGGAACAGUAUCGCUGCAGUUGGUUGUGACAGUACACCGCCUAAGGCAAAAUGCCAACCUUCUACGACCGACAAACUGAUAUGCAACCUCAUUACCAAGAUAACCCUUAAUUGUGCUAAGACUUUCGAUACAACUUUAUACAUAGCACAAUGUUUAGAGAAUCUUUGCAAAUGUGAGAAACCAAUAGACUGUUUUUGCAAUAUUGCGGAAGCUUUACUCAGAGAAUGUGGUGGCAUAGACAACCCUGUUUUUUCGGAGAAAUGCCCUAAGAAGUGCCCUGGCAAUCAAGUCUACAGUUCUUGCAUAAGUGCUUGCCCUGCUACUUGUACAGCUACAGAGCAGUUGUGUCCUUACACAGGCUGCAUUUCCGGCUGUAGGUGCCCGGAAAAUAAAGUGUUGCACAACGGUUUAUGUAUUAAUAGAGAAUCAUGCCCGUGCAGUCACCAAGGGAAACACUACCCUUCUGGUCAAAGCAUAAAACAGG